Acinetobacter sp. is the source of this 73-nucleotide non-coding RNA. Lineage: Bacteria; Pseudomonadati; Pseudomonadota; Gammaproteobacteria; Moraxellales; Moraxellaceae. The record is from Rfam.
GCGGAAAUAGCUCAGUUGGUAGAGCAUAACCUUGCCAAGGUUGGGGUCGAGAGUUCGAGUCUCUUUUUCCGCU